GCACAGUGAUCGUAACAGCAGUGAUCGACGCUGCGUAGGCGGCAGAAGCAGAAUCCAAUAGACGUGUGGUAGGAGGCGUGGAGCGGCGGACGGGUCAGCAACGCUCGAGAAUCUACCCAGUAGUGGGGGACAACCCGGGGAAACUCGGGCUAAUACCGCAUACGCCCUACGGGGUAAAGCAGGGGACCUUCGGGCCUUGCGCUGAUGGAUGAGCUCGCGUCGGAUUAGCUUGUUGGUGAGGUAAAGGCUCACCAAGGCGACGAUCCGUAGCUGGUCUGAGAGGAUGAUCAGCCACACCGGGACUGAGACACGGCCCGGACUCCUACGGGAGGCAGCAGUGGGGAAUCUUGGACAAUGGGGGCAACCCUGAUCCAGCCAUGCCGCGUGUGUGAAGAAGGCCUUCGGGUUGUAAAGCACUUUCAGCAGGGAGGAAGGCUUACCCCUAAUACGGGUGAGUACUUGACGUUACCUGCAGAAGAAGCACCGGCUAAUUUCGUGCCAGCAGCCGCGGUAAUACGAAAGGUGCAAGCGUUAAUCGGAAUUACUGGGCGUAAAGCGCGCGUAGGCGGUGUGUUAAGUCGGAUGUGAAAGCCCAGGGCUCAACCUUGGAAUUGCAUCCGAUACUGGCACGCUAGAGUGCAGUAGAGGGAGGUGGAAUUUCCGGUGUAGCGGUGAAAUGCGUAGAGAUCGGAAGGAACACCAGUGGCGAAGGCGGCCUCCUGGACUGACACUGACGCUGAGGUGCGAAAGCGUGGGGAGCAAACAGGAUUAGAUACCCUGGUAGUCCACGCUGUAAACGAUGUCUACUAGCCGUCGGGGUCCUUAGUGACUUUGGUGGCGCAGCUAACGCGAUAAGUAGACCGCCUGGGGAGUACGGCCGCAAGGUUAAAACUCAAAUGAAUUGACGGGGGCCCGCACAAGCGGUGGAGCAUGUGGUUUAAUUCGAUGCAACGCGAAGAACCUUACCAGGUCUUGACAUCCUCGGAAUUUGGCAGAGAUGCCUUAGUGCCUUCGGGAGCCGAGUGACAGGUGCUGCAUGGCCGUCGUCAGCUCGUGUCGUGAGAUGUUGGGUUAAGUCCCGUAACGAGCGCAACCCUUGUCCUUAGUUGCCAGCACGUAAUGGUGGGAACUCUAGGGAAACUGCCGGUGACAAACCGGAGGAAGGGGGGGACGACGUCAGGUCAUCAUGGCCCUUACAACCUGGGCUACCACGUGCUACAAUGGCUGGUACAAAAGGUUGGCAAAUCCCGAGGGGAACUUAUUCCUUAAAGCCAGUCGUAGUCCGGAUCGGAAUCUGCACUCCGACUCCGUGAAGUCGGAAUCGCUAGUAAUCGCGGAUCAGAAUGCCGCGGUGAAUACUUGAUGUACCCGGAUCCUGUAUCAGCAGACCGUCACAGAGGGGGACUGCAGUACACCAGAGUAGCUGCUGUCCUGAGAUGCAUAACAUAACAGGAGCGGAUCUGCGUGCAUUCUAAUCUGUAGUAUGAUUACUCGAGUGU
Molecule: ribosomal RNA, 1499 nt
Filed under: Alcanivorax sp. ANT-2400 S4
Lineage: Bacteria; Pseudomonadati; Pseudomonadota; Gammaproteobacteria; Oceanospirillales; Alcanivoracaceae
Description: bacterial SSU rRNA
Rfam family: Bacterial small subunit ribosomal RNA
Source: RNAcentral